UGCAUUAAUAGUACAAUUUAGUAUUCUGCUUUUCCACAGCAGGGGUUCCUGAAAGAGGGUUAAUGCAA
This 68-nucleotide transfer RNA is filed under the name Carassotrema koreanum. RNAcentral describes it as "tRNA-Gly". Lineage: Eukaryota; Metazoa; Platyhelminthes; Trematoda; Plagiorchiida; Haploporidae. The record is from RNAcentral.